RNAcentral lists this long non-coding RNA (1248 nucleotides) under Sus scrofa (pig). Its description in RNAcentral is "lncRNA (ENSSSCG00000057388.1)". The record is from RNAcentral. Lineage: Eukaryota; Metazoa; Chordata; Mammalia; Artiodactyla; Suidae.
UGGCCUCUCUCAGUGGGUUAAGGAUCCAGCAUUGCCAUGAGCUGUGGUGCAGGGUUGCAAACACAGCUCAGAUCCUGAGUUUCUGUGGCUGUGGUGUAGGCCAUCAGCUGCAGCUCCGAUUCCACCCUUAGCUUUGGAACUUCCAUAUGCCAUGGGUGCCUCCCUAAAAAGCAAAUAAUAAGAUAACAAAUAAUAAAAAAUCAAAGAAAAGGAUUACAAUGUGCUACAUGCUUUAUAUACUUUACUUCCUUUAAUCAAACAGUAAAGUAGAUAUUAUUCCCCUUUUCAGGUUAAAUACUUUACCAAACCUCUCUCAACUAUUCAGUGACAGAAGCUAGAUUAUAACCUAUCUGUCUCUCAAACCCAUUUUCUCAAAAAUUUUUUAUUUAAAAAAAAAAUCACAAUAUCAGAGUUCCCAGGUGGCUCCAUGGGUUAAGGACCCAGUGCUGUCUCUGCCGUGGCUCAGGUCACUGCUGUGGCAUUGUUGGAUCCCUGGCCUGGGAGCUUCCGCAAACUGUACUUGGAUUUUGUUUUUAUUCUUUUUAUUUUUUGUUUUUUUAUUUUUUUAUUUUUUUCGUCUUUUGUCUUUUUAGGGCCGCACCCACCGCAUAUGGAGGUUCCCAGGCUUGGGGUCUAAUUGGAGCUACAGCUGCUGGCCUACAGCACAGCCACAGCAAUGCCAGAUCCGAGCUGCAUCUGCGACCUACACCACAGCUCACGGCAACACCAAAUCCUUAACCCACUGAGCGAGGUCAGGGAUCGAACCCGCAACCUCAUGGUUCCUAGUCGGAUUCGUUUCUGCUGUGCCACAAUGGGGACUCCUGAAACCACAUGAUCACAGGCGUAAACAUUUUCUACAGGAUUCAAUAAAUUACAUGAACACUUUAUACAUUUUAGUAUAAAAUAGGCUUUGUGUUAAAUGAUUUUGCCCAACUGUAAUUUAAUGGAAGUGCUCUCAGCACAUUUAAGGUAGCCUAGGAGUUCCCAUCAUGGCGCAGCGGAAACAAAUCUGACUAGGAUCCAUGACGUUGCGGGUUCGGUCCCCGGCCUUGCUCAGCAGGUUACGGAUCCCAAGUUGCUGUGAGCUGUGGUGUAGGUUGCAGACUCGGCUCGGAUCUGGUGUUGCUGUGGCUGUGGUGUAGGUUGCAGACUCGGCUCGGAUCUGGUGUUGCUGUGGCUCUGGCGUAGGCCAGCAGCUACCCUGGGAACCUCCAUAGGCCGCCAGUGCGGCCCUAAAAAGGACAAUAG